GAGUUUGAUUCAUGGCUCAGAGUGAACGCUGGCGGCGUGCCUAAUACAUGCAAGUCGAACGGAGAUUAAGUAGCUUGCUAUUUAAUCUUAGUGGCGCACGGGUGAGUAAUAUAUAGCUAAUCUGCCCUACACUAGAGGACAACAGUUGGAAACGACUGCUAAUACUCUAUACUCCUUCUUUACAUAAGUUAAGUCGGGAAAGUUUUUCGGUGUAGGAUGAGGCUAUAUCGUAUCAGCUAGUUGGUAGGGUAACGGCCUACCAAGGCUAUGACGCGUAACUGGUCUGAGAGGAUGAUCAGUCACACUGGAACUGAGACACGGUCCAGACUCCUACGGGAGGCAGCAGUAGGGAAUAUUGCUCAAUGGGGGAAACCCUGAAGCAGCAACGCCGCGUGGAGGAUGACACUUUUCGGAGCGUAAACUCCUUUUCUUGGGAAAGAAUUAUGACGGUACCCAAGGAAUAAGCACCGGCUAACUCCGUGCCAGCAGCCGCGGUAAUACGGAGGGUGCAAGCGUUACUCGGAAUCACUGGGCGUAAAGGACGCGUAGGCGGAUUAUCAAGUCUCUUGUGAAAUCUAACGGCUUAACCGUUAAACUGCUUGGGAAACUGAUAAUCUAGAGUAAGGGAGAGGCAGAUGGAAUUCUUGGUGUAGGGGUAAAAUCCGUAGAGAUCAAGAAGAAUACCCAUUGCGAAAGCGAUCUGCUGGAACUUAACUGACGCUAAUGCGUGAAAGCGUGGGGAGCAAACAGGAUUAGAUACCCUGGUAGUCCACGCCCUAAACGAUGUAUACUAGUUGUUGCUUCGCUAGUCGAGGCAGUAAUGCACCUAACGGAUUAAGUAUACCGCCUGGGGAGUACGGUCGCAAGAUUAAAAACUCAAAGGAAUAGACGGGGACCCGCACAAGCGGUGGAGCAUGUGGUUUAAUUCGAAGAUACGCGAAGAACCUUACCCGGACUUGAUAUCUAACAAAUCAUCCAGAGAUGGAAGAGUGUCUGCUUGCAGAAAUGUUAAGACAGGUGCUGCACGGCUGUCGUCAGCUCGUGUCGUGAGAUGUUGGGUUAAGUCCCGCAACGAGCGCAAACCCACGUCAUUAGUUGCUAACGGUUCGGCCGAGCACUCUAAUGAGACUGCCUUCGUAAGGAGGAGGAAAGGUGUGGACGACGUCAAGUCAUCAUGGCCCUUAUGUCCGGGGCGACACACGUGCUACGAAUGGCGUAUACAAUAAGACGCAAUAUCGCGAGAUGGAGCAAAUCUAUAAAAUACGUCCCGGUUCGGAUUGGAGUCUGCGAACUCGACUCCAUGAAAGCCGGAAAUCGCUAGUAAUCGUAAAUCAGCCAUGCUACGGUAAAUACGUUUCCCGGGUCUUGUACACACCGCCCGUCA
RNAcentral lists this ribosomal RNA (1384 nucleotides) under uncultured bacterium. RNAcentral describes it as "bacterial SSU rRNA". It matches the Rfam family "Bacterial small subunit ribosomal RNA". The record is from RNAcentral.